CGCACAUUGCGCCCUUUGGUAUUCCGAGGGGCAUGCCCGUUCGAGCGUCAUUACACCAAUCAAGCCCAGCUUGGUAUUGGGUCCCGGGAGCGACCCGGACCUCAAAAACCUCGGCUGGAAGGCUCCAAUCUCAGCGUCAUGGUUGUCAAAUUCGCUGGCGAGAGGAGAACUUUCAGGCCGCUAAAAUUCGUUAAAGGUUGACCUCGGAUCGGGUAGGGAUACCCGCUGAACUUAA
This 235-nucleotide unclassified non-coding RNA is filed under the name Capnodiales sp. Its description in RNAcentral is "partial contains 5.8S ribosomal RNA, internal transcribed spacer 2, and large subunit ribosomal RNA". Lineage: Eukaryota; Fungi; Ascomycota; Dothideomycetes; Capnodiales. The record is from RNAcentral.